RNAcentral lists this ribosomal RNA (274 nucleotides) under uncultured bacterium. RNAcentral's name for it is "partial 16S ribosomal RNA". It matches the Rfam family "Bacterial small subunit ribosomal RNA", at positions 523 to 796 of the family's 1533-position model. The record is from RNAcentral.
AUACGGAGGGUGCGAGCGUUAAUCGGAAUUACUGGGCGUAAAGGGUGCGUAGGCGGCUUGAUAAGUCGGAUGUGAAAGCCCCGGGCUUAACCUGGGAAUUGCAUUCGAUACUGUCAGGCUAGAGUAUGUCAGAGGUUGGCGGAAUUCCUGGUGUAGCGGUGAAAUGCGUAGAUAUCAGGAGGAACACCAGUGGCGAAGGCGGCUAACUGGGGCAAUACUGACGCUGAGGCACGAAAGCGUGGGGAGCAAACAGGAUUAGAAACCCUGGUAGUCC